CCCUUCUGUAUGUCUGUGUUUCUCUUGUACUGGGGAGCCUGAAACUGGACACAGCACUCCAGGUGUGGCCAUGCCAGCACUGAGUAGAAGGGAAGGAUCACUUUCUUUGACCUGCUGACAAUACUUUGUGUAAUACAGCCCAGGAUACCACUCACCUUCUUUUCUACAAAGGCACAUUUCUGGCUCAUGUAUAUCCAGAGUUAAGGCAGAACUCUCACUAGAGCCUGACUUAGGUUAUAUUAUUGUGUUAAUGUUACUUACUGACACUUCUCCUGUGGUGUUUACUUAGGUUACAGUAAAUUGGUCCCUCUUUUUCUUUAAAGGUUUCUAGCCAAUGGCUAUUGACAAACAGGGCAUGAAAACGUGGCUAGAGUAUAACUGGUAUUUGCUUAAGUUUGAAGAGGAUUUGAACUGAGCCCUUAGACAUGAACUGUCGCAUGUGUCACAGGGAGUGUUCAUCCAGGAAUCAACGGCAUUACCAUUAUGUCAGCCCUAGAUACUUCAGUGCUCACUGAAGCGAGGCAGAAAAGCGUUUCAAGAGAAGCUCUUUGGAGGAAUAGCUCAGUUUCAGGACAUGAGCGGGUACAUUUAUGAGAGUGCUACCACAUAAUUACAUAUAUAUAUUUAGCUUAUUCAGGAAGGAGACAAACACUGUUUACCCAGCAUAGUCUAUAUCUGGGCUGAAAUAAAAGAAAGCUAAUGCAGGGAGUGUGUGGUAUAUAUGGUUUGUGUUUUCAAAAUCUGCAUAGUUUAUUUAGGAUCAGGUAUUCACACCUCACCUUGGUAGGUCAAAAUAUGAGAACAUGAUGAAAAGCUACUUGUUUUCUUUUCAUUCUCUGCCAUGUUUUUAGAUGGGAUAUUGUAACACUAAGAUCUAGAUAUUAACUUAUAUGUAAUUUUAAAAAGAUUUGUGAAUAACCAAUUUCAGAGAAGCUUUGAUCUUUUCUUCGUGUUUCACUGGCUUUUGUCAACUGGGAGAUGUCAUAUGAUGACACCUCUUAGUCAUGGAAUCCACAUAGGUGAAUUAUAUUUCCCAGAAUAAAUAAAACCUAAAAGCUAUUAGACCACCAGCCUAAUAAAGUUGGCUUUCAUAACUUUAAGGCAGCUUACUCAACCUAGGUAGCAAAUCAACAUAGGAAGGCCAAUGCAGCUUGUACCUCCAGUGAGAUGUGAUAGUUCCCAGUGCACAGCCACAGGAGAGAGGAAGGUGCUAUGGAGAGUGGCUCCAAGUAAUACUCUUUUUCCUUUGAAGGAAAAAGGCAACAACAAAAAGUUAAUGUUUCAUAUGCCUGUAGCUUGUAGUAUGAUUUAGGAAACAUCUCAAUGCAGUAUUUAAUUUCUUUUCCAGCUCAAAUCAUUAUGUGUUAUCCACUGAUGUUGCAAGGUCCAUGGUAUCUGUUUUCUAUAGAAGUAAUACAGCUAUAUUCAGGAAAAUGCAUAUUCCUACUUGUAACAAAUUGCUCUAGCUUUCCUUAUGGACAGAAAUAGCUUUUAUGACCAAGUUUUACAAGCAAUUCCUCCAGAUUCUCAGGAUAAAAAAGUUGCAGAGUCUAUGCUGUAUUUAUCAACUCUCAGAAAGUGUAUUUGAACAACUCGAUGAUAAAACCAAAGUGAAAUAUAUUGUAAUCUAUUGGAGCAUCUCUAAAAAUAAACCAGAAAAUGAGUUUUAACACUUCUGAGGCACAAGAAUGUAAUAAAAUUUAUAAAAUGAACAACCUGUAGCUUGUGGUAUACCUACCCUGGUCAAAUACUGAAGUGACAAACUAAACUGCUUUCUAAAAAUAAA
Long non-coding RNA from Neopsephotus bourkii (Bourke's parrot), 1786 nucleotides. RefSeq lists it as uncharacterized. The transcript has 2 exons. Lineage: Eukaryota; Metazoa; Chordata; Aves; Psittaciformes; Psittacidae. The record is from RefSeq and is a predicted model, not a curated record.